Molecule: long non-coding RNA, 676 nt
Filed under: Lathyrus oleraceus (garden pea)
Lineage: Eukaryota; Viridiplantae; Streptophyta; Magnoliopsida; Fabales; Fabaceae
Description: Pisum sativum (pea) long non-coding RNA (PSAT_LNC003456)
Source: RNAcentral
AAAGAGAGGUCACACCCAAAUUGGAUCAAAAGUUUGAUCAAGCCAUCAUCAAAAUCAAUCAUCCAUUUUGGUGGAUUGUGGUUUUCACCCCAUCACCACCCAAGAUCCAUUGAGUUUGAUGAGACUCAUGAUCCGAACUAUCAUGAUACAAGGCCAACAUAAGUUCACAAAGGUCACACAGAUAUAAAAUGCAAUUAAAUGAAAUAAAAAUGCACCAAAAGUAUUUUUAAAUGAAUUUUAAAAUAGAAAUAAAGUGAAAAAUCCAUAAAGUCCUUCAAAACACCAAAUAAAUGGCCAAGAAAAUUAUGGAGGUUGGAAAUAAAAUAAGAAGCAUAUAAUAAAAUUUUCAGAAAUUAAAAAUGCAGAAAAAUAUUUUUAAACCAAUUAAAACAAAGGAGAAAAGAGAAAAUUCAUGAAAAAUAGAAAAUCAGUGAAAUAAAAUAUGGAAAAAUGAAAAUCAGAUGAAGAAAUAAAAGAGAAUUUUAGAAAUUAUUGAGAUUUUUUGGAUAAAAAAUGAAAUUACUAUAAAUUUUAAAAGAAAAAGCAAUUUAAAAUAAUAAAUGAAAAAGAAUAAAAAUCAUAAAAAAAACACGGAGCGUUGGAUCACACCUUAUUAAUUGACGUGGCAGAUCCAACACUCCCCAGAUUAGGAUGCACGAUGGAACGCGCUAAAAAC